This 1084-nucleotide unclassified non-coding RNA is filed under the name Zea mays. RNAcentral describes it as "misc RNA Zm00001eb278440". The record is from RNAcentral. Lineage: Eukaryota; Viridiplantae; Streptophyta; Magnoliopsida; Poales; Poaceae.
GGAAACGUCCUGACCAGGAAGCCAACAAAGUCAAAAUUUCAAGAAAAGUUUCUUGGAACCUUUUGACCGAAAGUUCCUUUUUCGAAUCAAGAUGUAAAGAAAGAAAGAAAAGCGGGGAACAAAAAUGAACGCUUACGCGCGCUCCGGUGAUCGGCGAGUCGAGCCAAAUGCGACCCGGAGCUCGGGGGGGAUCUGAAUCAGUCCGACGCCGGAGGCGUCUUGGGCGGGCGGGCGGCCUCGGCUCCUGCGAGCCCCUGCUCGACGUCACCGGCGCCGCGCGGGCUGUAGGAGGUGCCGACCACGGCCUGCUUGCCUCUGCUCAGCAGCCGGCGCAGCGACCGCAGCCUGGCGGAGACCGGGGACCGCGUCUCGUCGGCGCUCCCAGGCACCCGGCUCGCCGGCAGCGGGGAGUUGAAGGGCGGCGUGGUGGUCAGGGCCACGGGCCGCGUCGGGAUGUCGAUGACCAGGUUCUCCUUCCUGCGCCCGGAGGCCGAGGAGCUCGCGGAGACGGCGCUGGCGACGGGCGGCGGCGGGGGCGGGGGCGUGGCGAGGCCGGCGUUGGCGACCUCGUCGUGGGUGCCCCAGAACAGGACGUUGGUGGGGAACUCGAGCGACGCGCCGAAGGGCUCCUCCCGCGGCAGCGCGUCGAGGUCGCCGCCGACGGGGGCGCGGCAGAGCGGGCAGGUGUCGUGGGAGUGGAACCACAUGUCGAUGCACUCCACGUGGAACGCGUGCCCGCACUUGGGCAGCGUCCGCACCUUCUCGCCGUCGGCCACCUCGGACAGGCACACGGCGCACUCCAGCGCCUCCUUGCUGCUCUUGGUGCCCGGGCCGCCGCCGCCGUAGACCGCGACGGGGAGGGAGCGCAGGGCGGAGGCGGGCAGGCCGCGCUGCGGGAGCGGGGACGCGGCCACGAAGAGGAACCGCGAGGACGGCGACGCCACGAGCGGGUUCCCGGCGCCCAGGUACCGCUUGGCGUAGAGGUAGAGGAGGAAGACGAACACGACGACCAUGAAGAGGAAGAUGACCGCCGCGAGGAGCACCCCGUUGCUGAUGACCACCUGCUGAUGUCCCGAGCUGCCCG